GCUCCAGGCACACUCCGAUGGAUGCAGGGGAGCAGUGGGUUUCAAAGCAAGAAGUGAGUCUGCUCAGCUUUGAAUUUUUGCUCUUCCACUGCAUAAUUGUGCACACUGAGCAAGUCACUCAAACUCUCUGAACCCUAAUUCCUCCUCUGUAAAAUAGGGUAAGUAAUAAUUAUCGUUUGUCAUUGUUUUGCGGUUUAGAUGAGUAAAUGUGAAAAACGAAUACUUUCACAAAUGCAUCUCAACUAUCACAGUAAAAGGAAAUGUGACAAAAGAAAAAGCCUAUUGAAAAAUAUAAAACAUCUAAGAGAAAACUAUCAUGAUCAUAAUUACUUAUUGUUUUUAUUCUAGCUUAAAGUUAAAUUAUGCUUAAAGUUAUAAUAAGAAGCAAUAAAGGUUAACUCCAAUUAUUAUACUCAAAAUUCUUCUGUGAAGACAUCUCUGAGUAUAUUAACGAAGUCAUACUACUCUGUUUUUUUCUUUGAACCUGGGGCUUAUUUUUUUAAUGAUACAACUUAGCAGUCUAAAAACAUACUUGGUAAUGCUCUUUAAUAAUUACUAUAAGUAUAUUCAGCUUGUCUCCUUAAUUAUGUUGCAAACUCCAGAGCAUACUCUAUGCUGUUUCUGUCUUCUGAAUCACUGCCAAGCCCUUAAUUAAUAUUUGAUCUUUGGAUACAAUGGCUUAGAUUUCACAGUUCUUCAAAAAUUGUUUUUAUAAAAGACUGCCAGGCAUAUCAGGUUUUUAUAUACUUUUAUGUAAGUUAUAGUAUUUGCAUUUUGUAAUAACACCGUGAAAACUGGGUGCAAUGGCACACACCUGUAAUCCCACUGACUGGGGCGGCCGAGGCAGGAGGAUUGCAAGUUUGAGGGCAGCCUGGGCUAUUUAAUGAGACCCUGUCUCAAAAUGAAAAUAAAAAUAGGUGUGGGGGGAGCAUCCUUGGAUUAAAUCCCUAGUACCAAAAUAAAUAAAUAAAUAAUAAAACAACACCAUGCAGGUGAGAACAUUUUCUUAUGCCUGUUUUACAGGUGACAGAUAGGAACAUCUGAGCAUUUAAAUAAUAUAAUUAUUAAGUUCAUAGGCCAGAAUUUAAACCUAGGUCCUCUGACUCCAAAAUAAGACUAUCUAUCUAUGUAUGUACUACACACACAUACAUUAGUCUAAAUUAAAUGACUAACAGACCAUUGAAAAUGGGAGUUAAAGCAGGCAUAUUUACAAGGGGAUAGAAAUCAGGGUUUCAGUUAGAGAGUGAUACAAAUGGAGUUGGACCAUGUCUUCCAAGCCCUCCUGGAUCUCUGGGUCAAGGUCAAAAUGGCCACUAAAGCCACUGGGGUGGGGGAUGGGUUGCAGUGCAACAGGUGAAGUAAUGGCGUGUGGAAGGCUGUCUAUGGAGGACUGCUGGGGUGGGGAGGGGUUCUUAUGGAACCCAGGGACAGAAUUAGGUGGUGGGAACUGCCUGAUUGGAGCAGGACACUUUCAUUCCAGGACCUGCAGCGGGGAGGCCUGUCUCUCUGCAAUCCCAUUCAUGCUCCUGUUUCCCACUGGCUGGACCCAACCAGGAGUCAGAAAGCCUGUUGAUACUCUCUGUGGGUACAGAAAAUAGUCGGUGCUGUUGGAAUGUGUCUGCUUGAUGUGGGUUGGAGAGGGUGGACAGAGAUGAGGAGAAGGUGGUGAGGGCAACUGGAAAAUUGCAGGCGUAACAUUAGUGAGUCUUUGUCAGAGAUGAGCAUUUUAUUCUGAGACACAAGGCUCUGAGAGGUCAGCAAUUUCAUAUUCUAUUUGGAUGCAUUUCCUGGGCAUGCAGAGGGAUUCUCUCCUUGUCAUUUGUUCUGUGUUCUGGGAGAAUGGCUCUGCUUUAGAGUUGAAGGGAAAAAAAAAUUGAGUAUGCUAAAUAGAAAUUUGUGCCCCUGCGGUUCUCUGGUAUCUAAGAAGUCCUGAGUGAGGUGUGGUCAUGAACCAGGAAGACAGUGAUGUCUCUCUUGCUUUGUGGUCAAAUAAAGGACUCCAUUGUUCUUUGGAAGUAUCUGCUUUGUCUUAAGAACCUGACAUGUGGCUCUGUCUUUUCCACAAGUCCCUUCCCCUUUUAUUUCCUUAUCUGUGUUUUCCUCCUGUGCUGGCUGCAGGAGGGCAACCUGGGCAUGCUCAGUCUGACUUCCUGCUAGGCUCUUUCCGACACUGAAAUCUUCCAGUAAUAUUUGGCCACGGCAAGGAAGUUGCUGGCUCUUGUUUCUAGUAUACUGUUCAGCAAAGUGGCAGCUGUCUCCUGCUUUGGGACUGAGGGUGAAAAUAGCAGGCUCCCAUUGCUAGUGCAGAGAGCCCUGGGAGAGAGUGCCCUAGUUCUGGUUACCUGAAGUGGUUAAGUCAGACUGGCCAACAGAUUUUCCAACAAAAAGGCUUGAGAGUUUGAGAAAAUUUUUUCUCUUCUCACUUGUUAGCUCUUUCUAAAAUAUUUGGAUGAAUUCACUGGUGAGGACUUUUGGGCCUGGAGAUCAUUUUAUGGAAAGAUUUUAAAUUAGAUGCAGUUUUUUUUUUUAAUACAUGACCAGUCAAAAUUUUUGUAUGUGUGUAUACUUUUAUAUACACAUAUAAGUUGGAUUUUUCAAAGGAUUUACCUCUUUCAUUCAAAUUUUCAUUGGGGGGGGUCAUAUAGUUGUUUAUAAUACAUCUUUUUAAGAUUUCUCUACCUCAUUAAUCUUUGCUCUUAAAUUUAUUUUGUUUGGCUUGCAUGUUCUUUUCAUAGUUUUAUUUUUAUACUAUCAUUUUUUUUAAAAUUGAUACAGAUGUUCAGAGCUAUGAAUUCAUGAAUUUCUUCUGAUUCCAUGGAUUGGUACAUUUAUUAGUGCUCUUUUAUUUUUAUAAUCAUUAUUAUUUUCAGAAUUUCUAUUUACAUUUCUCUUGCCCAAGAGUUAGAGGCCUUUUUUUUACCCCCUUAUUUUUAUUUUCUAGCUUUUUUUUUUUUGCAUUGUUAUUGAAGUGUGCUGCUUAUAAUAUUUCUACUGAAUGGAACCCACUGAUGUUUUCUUGGAACCAAAGUACAUGUUCAAUUUUGAUUCCUUGUUCACUUGAGAAGAAGGUGUAUUUUCUUUUAUCGGGGUAGAGUGUUUGAUGCAUGUCCAAAAGGUCCACCCUUUGCUGUUCAGAUAUUUUAGAACCUCAAUUUUUGGCCUACUUGACCUGUGUUGUAUUGAGAAUAGUGUGUGACAGUGUCCUAUUGUUGGUGUGUUUCUUUGUAUUUCUCCUUGUUUUGUCGAUUACUUGUAUUUUAUAUAGGUGGUUGCUAGGUUAUUUGCUGUCUAGAUAUUCAUGACUUGUAUCUUCAAUGUACUUUCAAAUAAUGUUAAAAUGUCCUUCUUUGUCUCAUUAAAUGCCUUUUGGUUUGUGACCUCUUUGUUGUUGUUGGUUUGUUUUACCUGCUUCAUUUUUGGUCACCCUUUUAAUCUUUUUGAAUUCCUCAUUGUAAGUCUAGCUGAUAUAUACUGUAGACUUAGGUUUUCCACUAUACUUCAACUUGAAAAUCUUUUCCAUUAGUAGAUAAUUUUAGCCUGUUCACAUUUAUCCAUGUGACUGUAAUAUUUGAUCUCAAACAUAUUCCUUUAUGUUAACUAUGUACACCCUUCCACAUUUACUAUUUUUACUUUUCACUUGCUUUAAUGUUCUUGAUUUUUAAAAUUUUCAUUUUGGUAUUUGAGAAAAAUUUUAACUUUAAUUCUAAAUGAUUUCCUUUGGGUUAAUACAUUUAUUAGUGCUCUCAAAUCCCCUUAUAUUUAUUUAUUUGUUUAUUUAUUUUGGUACCAGGGAUUGAACUCAGGGGUACUCUACUACUGAGCAACAUCCCCAGCCCUAUUUUGUGUUUUUAUUUAGAGAUCGCGUCUCACUGAGUUGCUUAGCACCUCACUUUUGCUGAGGUUGCAUUUGAACUCUGGAUCUUGCUGCCUCAGCCUCUUGAGCUGCUGGGGAUUUGAGGUGUGGGCCACUGUGCCUUGCAAUUUCCUUUAUUUUUACUUAAGUUUGAACUUCUCUCAGUUUUGAAUGGUGUCAUCUGACUCCCUCAGCCUGUGCAGUUAAUGAUGUUAUUCUACUUUCUAUUUUCUCCCUCUUUACUGCUAUGGUUUAGGUGUCUUCCUUGGUCCUCAGCCUGUUGUGCUAUUGGGAGGUGGUGGAGCCUUUAAGAGACAGAGCCUACUGGGAGGAGUUAGGUCACUGGGGUUGUGCCUUUGAAAGGGAUGGCUACUGGGACCCCAACUCCUUCCUCUCUCUUUUGCUUUCUGACUUUCCUGAGGUAAACGGACCCCCCCUCUGCCGCAUAUUCCUGUCAUGAUGUAUUCUGGGUUGAUUUUCCCAUGUGUCUACUAACAGGCCCUUUUAAUUUAUAGAUUCAUGGGAUUUAUUUUAUUCAUGGGAAUACCUAUUGCAUUAUUUUCUUAAAUACGUUUGUUCCCUUUUUAUUUGUUAUUAAAAUGCAUUAUUUGUAGAUAUCAGUGAGGUUCAGUGUGAUAUUUCCACACAUGCUUAUAGAGUGCACUGAUGAAGACCAUCCUCCCUUUAUCCCCACACCCUUCCAAACCUAUAGUCAUCACUAUUCUACUUUCAAAUAGACAUUCUAGGUUUUACACAUAAGCAAGAACAUGAGUUCUUGUCUUUCUGUCUGGCUUAUUUAACAUAUGUCCUUUAGUUCCAUCUAUUUGGCUGCAAAUGGCAAGAUUUCAUUCUUUGUGGUGAAAUAAUAUUCCAAUGUGUACGUAUUACAUUUUCUUUAUUCAACUACCCUUUGAUAGGCACCCGGACUGAUUCCAUCUCAUUGCUAUUUUAAAUAGUUAUAUAGAAUGCAUAAAAACAAACAAAAAACCUUGAUAACAAAAAAGCCACAAGUAAUCCAGUUAAAAAUAGGCAAAUGAUAUGAAUAUAUUUCAAAAGGAAUACAAGUGGCCAACAGAUAUGUGAGAUAUGUUCAAUAUCAGUAACUUUAAGGAAAAUGCAAAUCCAAACUGCAAAGAGAUAUGAUCUCAUGCCAGUUAGUUUUUUUUACUUUUUUUAAAAAUUUCUUUUGUAGGGAGUCCAUAAAAUUAAUGUUCAACUUUCUUUGUCUUUCUUUUCAAAUAAUUUUCUCUCUGGCCCUUUAUAUUUCUUGUGUUUCCUAUUUUCAAUUUCUUUUUCUUUUUAUACUUUUAUUUAAUGCUUUUUAUGAGGAGUUCAUUCAAGACUCUCUAGGAAAAAAAAGUCUACCCUUUAUUGAGAUUUAGACCUGUUUUCUGAUAUAAUUUUGUUUCUUUGUUUUUUUCUUCUUUUUCUUUUUCUGUUCUUUCCUGAGUUUAUUGUCCAUAGAGUGGUUUGGAUACAGAAACCCUAGGAUGUUGUGAAUUUUUUUUUUGAACUUUAUGCUUUUAUAACACCAGUGAAACCCUCACCAAAAUGUUUUUAUUUAGCUAGGCACAGCGGCACACUCCUGUAAUCUCAGCUAUCUGGGAGGCUAAGAGGAUUGUAAAUUUGAGGCCACCCUCAGCAAUUUAGCAAGACCCUGUCUCAAAAUAAAAAAAAAAAAAAAAAAAAAAAAAAAACAAGAAGGGAUGGGGAUGUAGCUCAGUGGUAGAGUGCCCCUGGGUUCAAUCCUCAGUAUAUAUAAAAAAAAAUUAUUUGCUCAGUACAAACAGAUGAUAUCUUCCAAUACUAAUAUCUAUCUUCUAGGAUUGCUAUAAGCAUUGAAUGAGUUAGUAAUUGUAAAGUACUUGGAGUUGGGGUUGGCAAACUUUUUCUGUUAACAAAUGUUUUUUAGCUUUGUGUUCCAUAGGGUUUUUGUCACAACAAUUUCAGUGUGAAAGCAGCCACAGACACUAUGUAAAUAAACGGGCAUGGCUAUGUUCUAAUAAAGCUUUAUUAGCCAAAAUAGGUAGCAACUUAGAUUUGAUUCAUGGGCCAUAGUUUGUUGUCCUCGGGUUUAAACAAAAUAAUAAGUGAAAUAUAAAUAUUAAUAAAUGAAACUAAUUGAAUGAACUCCAUGUAAAGGGGUAUUUUUAAAGAUGAUUUUUUCUAACAGAGUUGUACCACAGCUUUGUCCUAAAGACAAAUACAAUGAGAUCUGCAUAAAUAUACAUAGGUGUAUGCUGCAGGGCCUAACCCCUUGAACCCACAUGGAAGAAUGCUUAUCUUGCUCAUUGUGCAACAGGAAAGUCCUAACCUAGAACACUGUGUUUUGGGGACAAAGUGCUGUCAGAACACUGGAAAGCACAAUUUCUUCCUGUUGGUGUGGGGUCAGGGUAUGUGGCAGUUUCUGGACCCUUGGUGUCUUGACUUCUGUAAGAUGAUAUGUGUGUAUUACCCCUGGACUGUUAUGACUGUUAUAUGUAGAUCAGUACAUACCUGCUAUAAAAGCUGUUCUUGCUGUGCAAUAAAGCAGAUGCUGUUCUCUGAAAGUGUCCUGGGAGUGGUUCCUCCACACCCACAAGCUUCUCACAGUUCAUGUUGGAAGGUUAAGCCCUCUAGCAGGUAUACACACAGACACGAAAAACACUCACCAAACCUUCAUGCACACACUCAUGCACUCCUACACACUUAGCUAGUUCAUAUUAUGGUUCAAUUGAACUGCUUAUUUCAUUCCUCACUGACUGUCCCUUGACACUGAGAACAUGCUGAAUUUUAUUCUCACAUGCUCUGGCUCCAUAUGCUGGGGAAAGGCAAACUAAUUUUCAGCCUGGGCACAUAUUCACACUAGUGUAUAUAAAAUCAUAUAACAUUCCUAAGGCAAAUAUUUGUUUGGGGGGAGGGUAUUGGGGACUGCACUCAGGGGCACUCAAUCACUGAGCCACAUCCUCAGCCCUUUUUUGUAUUUUAUUUAGAGACAGGGUCUCACUGGGUUGCUUAGUCAUUGCUGAGGCCGGUUUUGAACGCUCAGUCCUCCUGUCUCAGCCUUCCCAGCUGCUGGGAUUACAGGCCUGCGCCACCACACAAGGACUAAGUCUAAUAUUGAUAAUGUUGAUUAAGUUCUGCUUUGGACUAACUACUUCAUCAUUUUUUUCAUUAAUGAUAAUAAUGAGGAUUUGCUUCAUGUCUUAUUUGUCAGCUUUUUGUCACUUUCACUAAAAUACACCAAAAGAUCAACUUAGAGGAUGAAACAUUUAUUUUGAUCUCAUGGUUUCAGAGGUUUAGUCCAUGGUCACCCAACCCCAUAGCUCUGGGCCCCAGGUAAGGAAAAAUAUUAUGGUGAAAGGGCAUGGCAGAAGAAAGCAGCUCAGUUUGUGAGCCUGGAAGAUUGUGGAAAUCAUGAGAUUUGGAGGGACAUCUCAUAUUCUAAUCAUAACACAUGUAAUUAUCAAUAUGUUCUAAAGUAUCUUUCUAUAAAUGAUCACUUUGAUGCUUUUUGUUGGAUGAUGAAUUUUGGGUUGGUUCCAUUGCAAGAAUGUUUGGAGUCUUCCUUGGAAUUGUGCAUCACUGUUCAGAUUAGUGCACCAAGAUUAGUCCUAGUAUCUCCAAUGCAAGGACAGUGGACUAACUAUAGAGAUGCAUGCUUGUAUACACCUUCUCCAUUAAUUGCAAUACAUGGUGGUAACUAGACUCAGAAAGACGUCUACUGGGAGACUUGGAGUGGGAGCAAUUUCUUCCCUUGCAUUUGUACUGUACCCAAGGCAGGUGGGAGUUUUAUUAAUCCUUUGGGUGAUGGUCAGAGCACUGAUGAUGCAGACAACAAUGAAGAAUAAUUAGGUUUGCCUUCAAACACAGAGAAGAGACUGAUUUGUGCCACAUGAUGAGUUUUGGCCACCUAGGGACUUGAACAUUUGAGUUUCCUGAGCCACUGCUGAUUUUAGAAGUCCCACCUGGUGAAGGAAUAUCUUUACUUCCCAGGAUGCAAUCAUAGGCAGGCCCUAACACAGCUAGAAAAUCUGCUGACUGUAAUCAGUGAGUCAACCAGCUGUUCCUAAAACAAGCUGACUGUCGAUGUGCUCUCCUGCUCAAGUCAGACUCAAUGUGGAAGAAUAAGGAGUUCAUUCAGUAAUAGCGGAGCUGACUCCCCCCCCCCCCCAGAUCCAGAGGCGAAAUUAAAGCAAUACAACAUUUUUGCCAGUUACAUUCUGUUUGGAAAAGAUGAAUCAUCCUCAUGUUUGUACUCAAAGGCAUCUAGUUAGAGGCAAGAUGAUUUGCAGAGUAAUUUUGUCUGCAGGAAUCACCUUUGACAGCAGAUCAAUAUCAGUAUAUGUGUUUGCUCUGGUGAGGAAGAAAAAAAGUAUACAUCUUGCUGGUCAGGCUGGAGAAAGCUUGAGUUGCUACUUCUCAAAUAUAUUAUUGCAAUAUUUUUACCUAAGUCAAAAGGUCAUAUACCAUAACAUUUAAAAUGCUAACAAAAAUCUUCAUUAAUGGUUUGAGUAAGCCCCAGUAAUAACCUAACACAGCUGCUUACUCUCCCUUUAAUCAGUUUCAAAUGGGUUGAGAUUGCAGUUUAAAAUGCAUCUAUUUCCUGGAUUUCUUCCCCUUUAUCUUUCAGGUUCUGGAUGAAGGAGUCUGGGGGCAGGCAAGAAGGACUGAAGGAAGCCGCCCAAAAGCAGAGCCAGUGUCAAGGACAUGAAAUGAACUUCAGAGGCCUGGGUUACUCACUGAUUUAUGUAGCUUUGGUGGCUAGGGAAGGAUGCAUGAAAACAUUUCUGUACACAGGAAUCAUCUUCAAUAGCAGCAUUUUCAGUGCAAGCUAAGGAUAGAACUGAUUGGUGGAAAAUUUCAUUGAACUUUAGAUAAAAAUGAAAGUGAGCAAGAUUAUUUCUAUUCAUUUUUAUUAUGAGAGAGUGAAUAUCAUUGGCCAAUUAAAAUAUUGAAUGCUUUUUUUUUUAGUUUGGGGCCAGAAUGACACAUAAUAAUACAACAAAUUCAAAGAAAUUUAUGCCCAAAGAAUUCUUUAGUUGUCUUAGUAUUUUGCUUCCUCUCUUUCAGAGGGCUAGGCUCAGUAAGGACAGAGCCAUGUUUUGUAAUGGUUCUCUUUCAUGAUUUUUCUCAUUUGCUAACCAUUUGUGUAGAUCUGAAAAUUCUGUAAACUAGUCUGUCUUUUUGAUUAUACAUGCAAAACCACUGCUGCAUGAUUGUUAAUUAUUUUAAUUGACCAUUCCUGCUUUCUUUACUAUGCUAUUAUCAUGGGAGUGGGUUAGUUAUCUAGUGAGUUGGUUAUCUUAGGAGUGGGUCAGUUAUUAUUGACAAUGACUUUGUUAUAAAAGUAAGCUCUCUUUCUCCCACAUGCUUACUGGCUUUCUGUCAUGGGAUAAGGUAGCAAAAAGACCCUCA
Molecule: long non-coding RNA, 9250 nt
Filed under: Marmota monax (woodchuck)
Lineage: Eukaryota; Metazoa; Chordata; Mammalia; Rodentia; Sciuridae
Source: RNAcentral